GCCUCCGUAGUUUAGUUGGUUAUAACACCCCACUAGUAUUUUACCCACUAAUGGGGAGGUCUGUCGUUCGAAUCGGCACGGAGGCA
Molecule: non-coding RNA, 86 nt
Organism: Cryptococcus wingfieldii CBS 7118
Lineage: Eukaryota; Fungi; Basidiomycota; Tremellomycetes; Tremellales; Cryptococcaceae
Source: the annotation of a RefSeq genome assembly